UCGCUCUGUUUUCCACCAGCUGCCUGUCCAGCGGGCCUGCCGCCUCCACCGCCCAGUCCUUGCUCAGGUGUCACUGUUGCUGGCAGGCCAGGAUUAGGAAAGGAGAAUGGGCAGGGGGUGGUGGCUGGGAGGAGAUGGGCUCUACCAUGCCACCCCCACCCUCACUUGGCUUCCUACCCUGGAAUCCGCAUACACCCCCGCGCCUCCUUGGCACCCGCGCCUUGGAGACUGGGUUAAGCUGCAGUGUUAGAAGCCUCUCUCCAUAUUCCAAGAAGAUGAAUGUAACAGAAGCAGAGUGGAAGGGAAGCGAGAUGGAAAGUGACUAAGAGGUCAUGAAAAUGCUAAGCCUCUCUCCAUAUUCUAAGAAGAUGAGUGUAAUGGAAGCAGAGUGGAGGAGAAGCCAAGUGGAAAAUGACUAAGAGGUCAUGAAACUGAGCAAAGCUUUUGGCAGUCUGUGGACCUUGGGAUGAAGAGGAAGAAACAUUAAAGCAAGGCUUGCUCCACGGUGAAGAGACCCUGGUAAAAUCUCUGGCUUUUAUUGAACGAGUACACUGGUAAAGGAGUACACUGGGGGAGUGAUUGCUCACCAGAAAUGGAAUAGAACUUAUAAAACUGGAACCCAGUAUUGUUUAAAUAAAAAUAAAAAUUAUCAUCAAUGGAAAUAUUUAAUGUUGCAAUAAUAUAAAUGCAAUGGGUAAAGAAUGUUUAAUUUGAGGCUGAAGUUGGAGAACUUGCCUAGCACAUAUGAGGCAGGGUUCUAGCCUCAGCACCACAUAAAAAUAAAAAAAUAAAGAAACAAUAAAAAAGUUUAGUUUUUUUUAAAAAGAAUAUUUAAUCUGAAAAUCUUCAAAAGUAUUGCAUUCUUUAAUUAUAGAUAAAUCUAUAGAUUGUUGCCUUGAUUAGGAGAUAUGUAAAUAUCGAUGUCUACAUUUCCUAAAGGAAAAAGGAAAUAUAUAUGUCUGUUUGCCAAAAGUCAUCCCACCAUCCUCUGUUCAUAUCUAGCUGUAAAACUACAUAUCAAAAAAUUCAAACAUACUGCAUAAAGCCAAUUUAUUUAUAACUUUUUUAAAAGGAUAGAUUUCUAGUUCUUAGUUGUGCAUGUAUAAAAAGAUUAAAAGUCUUCACUCUAUCCUAACAAGUAAAAAGCUCAACAAACUGAAAAUUCAACACAUCUUUCUGGAUUCAUAAGAGAAAUGAAAACACAGGACAAACUGGUGCCCCAAAUUUUGAGAGAUAAUCGGGAAUACAGAAAAUUACAAAAUAGUGAAGCUGAAGCCUCCAUGGGAAGCAGCAUCAGAACAGAGAAACCUGAAAUGUAAUCGACAAAUAUCUUGAAUAUGAGAGUUUAAAAUCCCAGACAGACCCCUAGAAGGCUAGGAUGGGUUCACUGGUGAAAUGUUCCAACCAUUUAAGGAAGUAAUUAUAUCAAUUAUCUAAAAUGUCUUUCAGAAGAUACAAGUAGAAGGAAUAUUUCCUAACUUAUCCUGUGAGGACCAUAUGACCCUAAUGCCAAAACCAGAUAAAGACAUUAUAAGAAAACUACAAAACAAUGUCUGUCUUUAAUAUGGAUAUAAAAAUCGAAAUGUAAUUUGCAAGUCAAAUUUGAUAAUGUAUAAAAAGAAUUAUAUACCACAGCCAAGUGGGAUUUAUCUCAUUUAUGCAAAACUAUUUUGACAUCCAAAAAUCAUUUAAUGUAAUCUAUCACACCAAAGGGCUAAAUAGGAACAAUCAUAUGAUCAUGUCAAUAGAUGAAGAAGAAGCAUUUACAUACUCUAAUACCCUUCAUGAUAAAAAGAGAUUAGAAACUCUUAGGGAACUAUGAACAGUAUAAAUCUUCUUCAUCUUAAUCAGGAAUAUCUACAAAAGACCUGCAGCUGACAUCAUUUAGUUGUGAGGAACUCAAGACUUUUUCACCAAUAUCAGGAAUAAAGCAGGACUAUCUCCUCUUGUCACAUCUUUUCAACAUUGUCCUGGGAGUUUUACACAACACACUAAGAUAAGAACAGAAAAUAAAGGUAUACAAACAACAAUGGGAGAAAUACAACAAUCUUUGUUCAUAGGUAACAUUUCUUAUGUAGAAAAUAUAAAAGAAUGAAAAAAAAAAACCCUCAUGGUAUUAAAAUCAAUUAUAGCAAGGCUUCAGGAUAUCAGAUUAGUAUAUAGAAGUCCAUCACUUUCCUACACAUCAGCAAUGAAUAAGUGAAAUUUUAUAUUUAAAAACAUAACACCAGGGGUUAGGAAUUUAGCUCAGGGGAACAGUAUUUGUCUAGCAUAUCAUAAGGCCCUAGAUUUAGUCCAUAUAAUUGCAAAAACAAACACACAACAGCACAAUAUCACAUUUGUUAGCACUCACAAAAAUGAAAUACUUUUGUGUAAAUGGAAGAAAAUUCAUACAACAUUUGAAUGAGAAAACCCACAAAACUGUGAUGAAAGAAUUCAGAGAACUAAAUAAAUUGAGAGCUAUACCUUGUUCAUGGAUAGGAAGAGUCAAUAUGUCAAGAUACUAAUUCUUAAAAAGUUGAUCUUUGAGUCAAUGAAAUCUCAAUGAAAAUACAAGUUGUAUUGUGGAUAUUGACAAACUGAUUCUAUAGAUAUAUGGCAUAGAAAAAGGCCCAGAUUAGUCAACGCACUAUUAAAGAAGAAUAAAGUCAGGUAACUGACACCGCUAAACUAACACCCCUUACAAUAAAGCUAGAAUCACCAAGUCAAUGUGGGGUUAGAGAAAGAGUAAAUAAGAUCAAUGAGUGGAGCAGAGAGAAAAUAGAUUCCCCUUAAAUGUAGUCAGUUGAAUCUUUGACAAAGGAGAAAAGACAAUAACCAAAGAGAAUAUUUUCAACAAAUAAUGCUGCAAGAAUGAAUAUACUAAUUAGAACAAAUUAAAAAUAAAAAAUAAACAAGAAUGAAUACACAUGUUCAAAUGAAACAAAAAAAACAUGGACUUUGCACCCCUUGCAAAAAUGUCUCAUGGCCCUAUAUGUUAAAUGGAAAACUAUAAAACUUCUCAUAGCUAACGUAGAAGAAAAUCUAGAUGGCCUUCACCUUGAAUUUGGUCACGAUCUUUUAGAUGUAAGAACUUAGGUACAAUUCAUCAUGUCCAAGAAUCAAUACGCUGGAUUUCAGUGAAAUUAAACAUUUCUGCUCUGCAAAAAUCACUGUCAAGGCAAUGAAAAAACAAGACACAGACUGGGAGAAAAUAUUUUUAAAACUUAUAAAGAACUGUUUUCCAACAUAUAUGAAUCUCUUAAAUUCAACCAUCAGCAACAACAAAUUCUAUUUUAAAACAGGUCAAAGAUUUUGACAGGUAUUUCACAAAACAAGAUAUACACAUGGCAAGUAAGUAUAUAAAAAAGAUGAUGAUGAUGAUGAUGUCAUUAAAAAUUUAAGUUGAAACAACGAUGUAUACUACUGUGUACUUAUUAGAAUGGCUAAAAUACAGAACAGUGACAAGGUAAGGCUUUGAGCAGCAGGGACUCACAUUCAACUGCUAGUGGGAAUGUAAAAUAGCAUGGCUACUUUAAAAAAUAUUUUAACUGGAUAUGAUGAUUGAUUACCUGAGAAAUAAUUGAUGAAAUAUCAAGAAAAAAAAUAUUCUAACAGUUUCUUUUUUUUUACACUGUUGGGGAUCAAACACCGUGCCUUACACAUGUUAGGCGAGAACUACCACUGAGCCCUUAGUUUAGAAGUUUUUUACAAAGCUGACCGUGUACUUACCAUGCAAUCUUGCAAUCAUGCUUCUGAGUAUUUACCAAAGGAGUUGGAAACUUAUGUCCGCACAACUUAGAAGCAACCAGACAGUUCUUUAGUAAGUGAAUGAAGUAUGUUACCUACACAUAAUUGAAUAUGAUAUGGUACAAAACACAAAUGAACUAUCAAGUCAUAAAAAAAACUUGGAAGAAACUUAAAUGAUAUUAUUAAGUGGAAGAAGCCAAUCAGAAAAAGGUUAUAAAGUAUUUAUUCCAACUAUAUGAAAUUUGGGAAAAGGCAAAAUAUGGAGCUGUUGAAAAACAUAAGUAGUUUCAGGGGUUAGUGGAGAGGGAAUGAUGACUAGACUGAACACAAAAAUUUUUUAUGGCAAUGAAAAUACUCUGCAUAGUACUUUAGGGACAGAUGCAGUCCAUUAUACAUUUGUCUAAACCUAUAGAAUGUACAUUGCCAAGAGCAAGCACUAAAAAGUAAACUAUGGACUUUGAAUGAUAAUGAUGUUUCAAUGUAGGUUUAUAAAUUGUAAUAGUUUUACCACUAUGGUGGGGGUUCUUGCUGUGGAGGAUAGCUAUGCCUCUGUGGGAACCAGACACAUAUAGGAUAUCACUGUACUUUCCUUUCAAUUUAUCUUUGAAAUAAAUUAAAACUUAAAAUUUUAAUGUACAGGAAAUUAUUUAGCUAAAAUAUAUAAUUUUUAAAAUUUUAGAAGAUAACACAAAUGAAGAUUAAUCAGCUGAAACACCAAGGGGAAAAAGUUCAAAGGUCCCUACAUAGCCAACACAUUCUUUAAAGGGAUUAUAAAGUAGAAGGAUUCAUAUUAUUGGAUAUCGAGACCUAGAAAGCUACAGUGAUUUAGACAGUGAAUAGUUCAUUUAAGAAGAGUCAAAUCAUCAGGUAGAACAGAUGAGAAAGUCCAUAAAAUAACUUUCAAGUAUUUACACAUUUGAAUUCCUUCAAACACGACACCAAAGAGAUAUGUAGAAAGAAUGUCUUUUCAAUAAAUAGUAUUAGAUCGACUGAAUAUGUAUAUGGCGUGGGGGAAGGACUUUGAUGCUUACAUCACAGUAGAUAGAAAAAUCAAUUCCAUAUGGUUUGCAGAUAUAAAUGAGCAAGAAACAGUAAUCUUUGAAGAUUAUAGUAAAAUCUCUUGAGGUCUGUGAGAGUAGAAAAUCAUUUUAACCUUGAUAAGCAGCACAACAUUAAAAUUUUGUUUAUUGAUAGAUACUAUUAAAGACUGACAGAGUAGCAUUGGAUAUGUGGUACAAAUGUAGCUAGUAAAAUUCAAAUUGUCAUUAUGAGAUUCCUCUACACUUAAUAAGAUGGUGUGAAAUCAUCAAGUCACAUAAUACUGUAAUAGCAUGUGGAGUGAACCACAGAACCAAAAAGGAUUGAUAUAAGGACUUAAAGAACUCCUCAGAAUUUCCUACUAAAGUUGAAUGACACAUUCCUGAAGACCAGCAAUUUCACAUCUAGGUUUCUGUUCAAAAGAAUCAUGUGCACUUGUGCACUCAAAGACCUAACCAAACACAUUUUUUGACUGCCUUAUCUUGCAUUUGUCAAUGAAAACAACUCAAAUAUCCCUUAAACAUAGAAUCAGCAAAAUCUUAUAUAUUCAUCUACCAGAAUACAGCAAUAAACAUUAAUGAACUCCCAUGGAAACAACUUUAAAACGUAAAGUAUUUAUGGACAGUCUUUCUGCUUACCUCUGAAAUCCAACCCCAGUUCAGAGUUGAAUUGAGAAUCACCCAGCUGACAAUCAAGCAUGGCUUUGCUAAAAAGUGGAGUGCACAGGAGGAGACUUUUGUUUCUACUAAGGAGGUAGAAAGUGGAAAAGAGUGUUGCUUUCAUCCUAACACCAAGAAAAGGUCAGAUGAACUACAUCAUGGUAAUGUUCUCAAGCUUGUCAUAGAGCUUGGAUUUUAGGAUAGUCAAGUGACCUGAAGUCCGUGGAAUGACAGAUCCCUCAAGCAGAGCCAUCAGGAGAGCAGAGAAACUGUUGUUUUCUGAUUUAGAUCUAGAUGGUGCAUAGAGACCACUGGGGAGUUCUCUCAGGCAAAAAGUCAUAUAAAUGCUAAUUUUCCCCAGGUGAGCUUCCUUAUUUCAAAUGUUGAGAUUGCUCUAAAUUUUCCUAUUUUUCAUCUCUCUUCAAAAGAUGUUUUUUUUAAAAAAAUUUGAGAAGUUAUAAUUGUAAUUGUUAUAAGCCAAAGGAUUAGUCUCAUACAAGCAAUUUUAUUAUUAUUGGAAACUUGUGAUUAAAUUUUAUCUUGAUCUUAUAUCAAGCAACUUUACUAAGCUUUCUUGUUGUUCUAGUAAUUUUUUUAACAUGGUUGGUAAAAAUAUGUAAUGCAUACCAUCUGAGAAUGAGAAUAAUUGCAGUUCCUUUUUAAUCUGUAUGCCUUCGUUCUUAAUUUUUUUCUUCUACUACUUUAGCUACAACCUCUGGGAAAAAAAAUGGAAAUAGAAUCACUGAAAGCAGAUGUUCUUUUCUUGUUUCUGAUUAUAAAAAUAUUACUAAAUUUACACCAUGAAAUAUUACGUAUGCUGUGGAAUUUGGUAGAUACUCUCUGUUAAGUUAUGGAAAUUUCCUUCUAUUUCUAGUUUGUUAAGAGAUUUUUUAAAAAUAUGUUUUCACAUAUUGAAUUUGUGUUGAAUUUUAUCAUAUGGUUACUCUUCACCUAUUGGGAUAUUUAUAUAAUGUUUCUUCCCUGAAAAUAUUCCAGAAAAUUAUUAUUAUAUGAAUCGAUUAUUGGAAUUAUCUAAUACCAGUCCACAUAUAUAAACUCAAAGCCAUCUUCAUGAUCAAAUAUUUUGGUCAUGUUUGUUUUACUCUUUCAUGUGUGCUUAAAAAAUAUGACAAGUGAAUGCUAAUCCAUAAGGGGGGACAUG
Marmota monax (woodchuck) is the source of this 6588-nucleotide long non-coding RNA. RefSeq lists it as uncharacterized. The record is from RefSeq and is a predicted model, not a curated record. NCBI's taxonomy places the organism in Eukaryota, Metazoa, Chordata, Mammalia, Rodentia, Sciuridae. The transcript has 3 exons.